This 3377-nucleotide long non-coding RNA is filed under the name Homo sapiens (human). RNAcentral describes it as "HSALNT0133315". The record is from RNAcentral. Lineage: Eukaryota; Metazoa; Chordata; Mammalia; Primates; Hominidae.
AUAGUAUGCACCAUUAAAAUUGCCAGUUUUUAGCUCCUUAUUUAGUAAAAUAAAUCAUUUUACUAAAAUAAAUCAAAUUAAGUAAAAUAAAUCAUUAUUUAGUAAAAUAAAUUUAUUGAGUAAAAUAGAUCAUAAUUAUUUUAAAGAACCAAGGAGAGGCCAGGCAUGGUGGCCUGGGUGGUAAUCACAGCACUUUGGGGGGCUGAGGCAGGUGGAUCACCUGAGGUCAGGAGUUCGAGACCAGUCUGGCCAACAUGGUGAAACGCUGUCUCUACUAAAAAUAUAAAAAUUAGCUGGGCAUGGUGGCGGGUGACUGUAAUCCUAGCUACUCAGGAAGCUGAGGCACGAGAAUCACUUGAACCCGGAAGGUGGAGGUUUCAGUGAGCCAAGAUAGUGCCACUGCACUCCAGCCUGGGCAACAGAGUGAGACUGUCUCAAAAAAAAAAAAAAAAAAAAAAAGGCCGAAGAGAAAUUCUGCAGUUACACCUUUUUAAAAUUAGGGGUAGUCAAACUUAGAAAGCUUAUUUUGAAAACAAUAUUUGAAUUUGAAAACUAUAUUUUUACUUGAAAUUGUAUUCUUUAUUUUCUCAACUUUUUAAUUUUGUUAGAAUAUAACUUAAUGAUAUUUUGAUGACUUCAUAUUUUAAGAGUGAAAAGUUUUCAUGAAUAAGUCUUGCAAAAUUAACAGCCAUCAACAUAGUUCUCCAAAUCAAAUUGUCAUCCCAAUGAAAAUAAAGAUAGAGGCCAGGCGCGGUGGCUCAUGCCUGUAAUCCUAGCACUUCGGGAGGCCGAGGUGGGCGGAUCAGGAGGUCAAGAUAUUGAGACUAUCCUGGCCAACAUGGUGAAACCCCGUUUCUACUAAAAAUACAAAAAUUAGCUGGGCAUGGUGGCCUGUGCCUGUAGUCCCAGCUACUCUGGAGGCUGAGGCAGGAGAAUCACUUGAAACCGGGAGGCAGAGGUUGCAGUGAGCCAAGAUCGUGUCACUGCACUCCAGCCUGGUGAUAGAGUGAGACUCCGUCUCAAAAAAAAAAAAAAAAAAAAAAAAAAAAAAAGAAAAAAAGAAAAAGGAUAGAUAUAGGUCAAAUUUUCUUAAGAUAACAACGAAAUAAAGUAAGAGUAAAUAUGUUUGAAAAAACAAAGAUGUAUAAAGGUCUUUUGCCUGGCUUAGACCACAUUAAAGUCAUUUAUUGACUAUUUAAAAAAUUUUUUAACUGUUAAUUUUUGUGUAUACAUAGUAGGUGUAUAUAUUUAUGAGGUACAUGAGAUAUUUUGGUACAGGCAUGCAAUGCUUCUUAAUCACAUACUGGAAAAUUGGGCGUCCAUUCCCUCACGCAUCUACCCUUUGUGUAAUAGACAAUCCAAUUACACUCUUUUAGUUAUUUUAAAAUGUACAAUUAAAUUAUUAUUGACUGUAGUCUCCCUGUUGUGCUAUGAAAUAGUAGGUCUUAUUCAUUCUAUUUUUUAUACUCCUUAACCAUCCCCACAGUCCCCCACCCUGAUGUUACCCUUCCCAGCCUCUGGUAACCAGCCUCCUACACUCUAUGUCCAUGAAUUCGAUGGCUUUGAUUUUCAGAUCUGACAAAUAAGUGAGAACAUGUAAUGCUUGUCUUUCUGUGCCUGGCUUAUUUCACUUAACAUAAUAGCCUCCAGUUCCAUCCAUGUUGAAAAUGACAGGAUCACAUUCUUUUUUUAAAUGGCUGAAUAGUACUCCAUUGUGUAUAUGGGGCACAUGUUCUUUAUUCAUUCAUGUGUUGAUGGACACUUAGGUUGCUUCCAAAUCUUGAUCAUUGUGAACAGUGCUGCAACAAAUAUGGGAUUGCAGAUAUCUGUUUGAUACAUUAAUUUCUUUUUUUGGGAGGGUAUAUACCCAGCAGUAGGAUUGCUGGAUCAUAUGGUAGCUCUGUUUUUAGUUUUUUGAGGAACUUCCAAACUGUUCUCCAUAGUGGUUGUACUAAUUUCCAUGAACACCAACAGAGUACGAGGGUUCUAUUGGCUAUUUUUUUAAAUCAGACUUUAUUGCCAUUAAGUCUGGCUUGUUUUAGCUGCAUUUGACAUCCAAUUUUAUUUGAGAGAUAGUCUUUUAAAAUCUUAUAUAAAAGAUGCAAUAAAACUAGCAACAUUUGAAGAGUUAUCUAAUGAAAAAUAUUUGUUAAUUUAAUAAUUAAAAUAAAUAAAAAUUAUUUUAUAAUUAUAUAUAUCUUUAUGAAUAUGCAUUAAAAUAAACAUGUAUAAAAACUAACAUUUUUAAGAAUUGUACUCAAUCAGCUUAUAUCUAUACUUGCCUAUAGCUCCACUGACCUCAAUAGUUACAUCUAUUGUAUAAAUUAAACAUCACACAGUGAGAGUAAAAAAGUAACUCAAUUUAUGUUAUCCUAUCUAUGGAUAGAGGAGAGACUGAAACAAUUUCUACUUUACAUCAAAAUAUUCAGAUAGCCUCAUGCCCAAAUCUAUAAUGAGAUUGCUAUAACUAAGAAGGUAUUUACUUUUCAACCAUUUGCUAAAGUGAUAGGUACAAAUAACUAUCAUAGAACUAUCAGAAGAAAAUAGAGUGGCUAAUGGAAAGUAUUGCUUUGUUUUCUGACUUGAGCUCCUUCAGUACAUUAUGAUGAUCUCAGAUGGUCUUAGAAUUAAAAUAUGUUUUUGCUGGUACCUCACAUAUAGCAAAAAUAUUAACCAAAACUUGCAAUUUUGCUACCCCCCUGAUUAAUCCAAACCAUGCUGAUCUCACUUGAUGAAAUUUUUAGUUUCAGGGUUAGUUUAAGCAUACAAUCAUACACGCUUGGUCAUUUUGGGACUGUUGACUUUCCACGAGGGGAUACUCUAACAUCAAAAUAUUCUAACAUGCCCUUGUUUGCUCAGCUACCUCCACAGCUGUGCUGGCUCUAAUUUCCGGAUGAGAAUGGCCAUGAUAUGAGUAAUUGUAAUUAAAUAACAAUAGUAGCUCACAGUUUCUUGUUGUUGUUGUUGUUUUAAUCUUUCAGAAUGAGUUCAUAGUCACAACCUCACUUUUUCCUCACAAAACCCUAUCAGGCAAUUUAAUCCUCAUUUUAUAGAAGAAAUGAGAAAUAGGUAAGUGACUGGCCCAAGACAGAAUGAGCAUCUUCAGCAUUUUCAUCAGGAUCAAAAAAAUAAAAUAUUCUAAAAAUAUAUAAUUAUUCUAAAAAAUUCUAAAAAUAUAUAUUUACAAAAUUAAAGAAGAAUGUAAUGUAAUGAUAUAUAAGCAAGCAUUAAGAAGACUAAAGAUUCAUUUUAUCAAAAAAUUAAUAAAGCGGCAAGUCAUUUAUAGAUAUUCCUUAGGAGGUGUUUUUGGUAAUAAUUAUUAAAAUAGAGAAAUUCAUUAGAUGUUUACUAAAAGAAUAAGAUGGCCCAGGAUAUAU